This 180-nucleotide ribosomal RNA is filed under the name uncultured Glomeromycotina. Its description in RNAcentral is "partial small subunit ribosomal RNA". It matches the Rfam family "Eukaryotic small subunit ribosomal RNA", at positions 653 to 830 of the family's 1831-position model. Lineage: Eukaryota; Fungi; Glomeromycota. The record is from RNAcentral.
GGAUCAAUUUAUUGGUCGUGCUAUUGUACGUACUGGUAUUAUUGAUUCCUACCUUCUGACGAACCAUGAUGUCAUUAAUUUGGUGUCAUGGGGAAUCAGGACUGUUACUUUGAAAAAAUUAGAGUGUUUAAAGCAGGCUCACGCUUGAAUACAUUAGCAUGGAAUAACGAAAUAGGACGU